Molecule: ribosomal RNA, 429 nt
Filed under: Fusobacteriota bacterium
Lineage: Bacteria; Fusobacteriati; Fusobacteriota
Description: Fusobacteria bacterium partial 16S ribosomal RNA
Rfam family: Bacterial small subunit ribosomal RNA
Source: RNAcentral
UGGGGAAUAUUGCACAAUGGGCGCAAGCCUGAUGCAGCCAUGCCGCGUGUAUGAAGAAGGCCUUCGGGUUGUAAAGUACUUUCAGCGGGGAGGAAGGGAGUAAAGUUAAUACCUUUGCUCAUUGACGUUACCCGCAGAAGAAGCACCGGCUAACUCCGUGCCAGCAGCCGCGGUAAUACGGAGGGUGCAAGCGUUAAUCGGAAUUACUGGGCGUAAAGGGUGCGCAGGCGGCUUUACAAGUUGGAUGUGAAAUAUUGUGGCUCAACCACAAACGUGCAUCCAAAACUGCAAAGCUUGAGUUAAGGAGAGGUAAGUGGAAUUCCUGGUGUAGCGGUGGAAUGCGUAGAUAUCAGGAGGAAUACCGGUGGCGAAGGCGACUUACUGGACUUAAACUGACGCUCAGGCACGAAAGCGUGGGGAGCAAACAGG